This 397-nucleotide ribosomal RNA is filed under the name uncultured bacterium. Its description in RNAcentral is "partial 16S ribosomal RNA". It matches the Rfam family "Bacterial small subunit ribosomal RNA", at positions 523 to 918 of the family's 1533-position model. The record is from RNAcentral.
AUACGUAGGGGGCGAGCGUUGUCCGGAAUGAUUGGGCGUAAAGGGCGCGUAGGCGGCGCGGUAAGUCUGGAGUGAAAGUCCUGCUUUCAAGGAGGGAAUUGCUUUGGAUACUGCCGCGCUUGAGUGCAGGAGAGGGUAUCGGAAUUCCCGGUGUAGCGGUGAAAUGCGUAGAGAUCGGGAGGAACACCAGUGGCGAAGGCGGGUAACUGGACUGCAACUGACGCUGAGGCGCGAAAGUGUGGGGAGCAAACAGGAUUAGAUACCCUGGUAGUCCACACUGUAGACGAUGAAUGCUAGGUGUAAGAGGUAUCGACCCCUUUUGUGCCGGAGUCAACACAAUAAGCAUUCCGCCUGGGGAGUACGGCCGCAAGGUUGAAACUCAAAUGAAUUGACGGGG